UACGUAGGUGGCAAGCGUUGUCCGGAUUUAUUGGGCGUAAAGAGCGCGCAGGCGGUUUGUUAAGUCCGAGGUGAAAUCUCCCGGCUCAACUGGGAGGGGUCUUCGGAUACUGGCCGACUUGAGGAGAGCAGAGGUGAGUGGAAUUCUCGGUGUAGUGGUGAAAUGCGUAGAUAUCGAGAGGAACACCAGCGGCGAAGGCGGCUCACUGGGCUCCACCUGACGCUGAGGCGCGAAAGCGUGGGGAGCGAACCGG
This 253-nucleotide ribosomal RNA is filed under the name uncultured bacterium. Its description in RNAcentral is "partial 16S ribosomal RNA". It matches the Rfam family "Bacterial small subunit ribosomal RNA", at positions 524 to 776 of the family's 1533-position model. The record is from RNAcentral.